CGUAGUCGAUGGGAAACAGGUUAAUAUUCCUGUACUUGGUAAAGCUGCGAUGUGGGGACGGAGUAGGUUAGGUUAUCGCACUGUUGGAUAUGUGCGUUUAAGUUGGUAGGUGGGAAGUUUAGGCAAAUCCGGACUUCUAUUAAACACUGAGAGAUGAUGACGAGGCUCUAAGGAGCUGAAGUAACUGAUACCACACUUCCAGGAAAAGCCACUAAGCGACAGGCUUUACUAAACCGUACUGAAAACCGACACAGGUGGUCAGGUAGAGAAUACUCAGGCGCUUGAGAGAACUCGGGUGAAGGAACUAGGCAAAAUAGCACCGUAACUUCGGGAGAAGGUGCGCCGGCGUAGAUUGUAAGGGCUAGCCCCUGAAGGUUGAACCGGUCGAAGAUACCAGCUGGCUGCAACUGUUUAUUAAAAACACAGCACUCUGCAAACACGAAAGUGGAGGUAUAGGGUGUGAUGCCUGCCCGGUGCUGGAAGGUUAAUUGAUGGUGUAAUCGCAAGAGAAGCACCUGAUCGAAGCCCCAGUAAACGGCGGCCGUAACUAUAACGGUCCUAAGGUAGCGAAAUUCCUUGUCGGGUAAGUUCCGACCUGCACGAAUGGCAUAAUGAUGGCCAGGCUGUCUCCACCCGAGACUCAGUGAAAUUGAAAUCGCCGUGAAGAUGCGGUGUACCCGCGGCUAGACGGAAAGACCCCGUGAACCUUUACUAUAGCUUGACACUGAACAUUGAAUUUUGAUGUGUAGGAUAGGUGGGAGACUUAGAAGUAGGAACGCCAGUUUCUAUGGAGUCAUCCUUGAAAUACCACCCUUUAACGUUUGAUGUUCUAACGAAGAUUGCGGAACGCGGUCUCGGACAGUGUCUGGUGGGUAGUUUGACUGGGGCGGUCUCCUCCCAAAGCGUAACGGAGGAGCACGAAGGUUUGCUAAUCACGGUCGGACAUCGUGAGGUUAGUGCAAUGGUAUAAGCAAGCUUAACUGCGAGA
RNAcentral lists this ribosomal RNA (988 nucleotides) under Haemophilus influenzae. RNAcentral describes it as "bacterial LSU rRNA". It matches the Rfam family "Bacterial large subunit ribosomal RNA", at positions 1410 to 2380 of the family's 2925-position model. The record is from RNAcentral. Lineage: Bacteria; Pseudomonadati; Pseudomonadota; Gammaproteobacteria; Pasteurellales; Pasteurellaceae.